CCUCCCAAAGUGCUGGGAUUACAGGCAUGAGCCACCACACCUGGCACCAUAGAGACUUUCUUUGCUAGAUACUGUAACUUUAAACAUAUCAGCAGCUAAAAAUAAACUAUUUCCAUAGAUGAAAUAUUCCAUAUUUCCAGGAUAUUUACGUGGAAAACAGAUUUAAUCUACCUUAAGCGUAAACUUAUUAUUAUUAUGAUUAUUAUUAUCAUCACUACAUUUCCUUGAGUGUAAGCUGCUAUUAGUUAUAAAUCAUAUCACCAAUUUGAUAACAACUUUUUGGUGAAAGAAGCAGCAUACUCACAUUAAGUCUACACGUAAAAAUGGAAAGAUCCUUACAAACAAGAAUAUACUAUUCCCUUAAAACCAAGACUUUACACAAGCAUCCCUAGGCAUUCUCUUUGGUGAUCAUACAUGUCUUUCUCUUUCAGUUCCUUUGGUGACUCCUUUGAUGUCUCUUCUUGUUCAUCUUCAGUACUGUGAGAAAGAAAAGUUGAAUAAAUACUCUCUAAGGGUCAGCUCUGAAAUCAGUUAAAGACUCUAUACGACUGUGAGCAAAUUCAUGAGAAAAUCAACAGAGCACAGGAACUUUGCUGGGAGGGGCCUUCACAAGGUUACAGUUGGAAGCUGGAGUAUGCAGUGGAAGAAGGGAGUAAGUUCAUAACACUACGCUGUUUGGGUUUAGACGGUUGAGACAUGACCAUGGAUAGCUACACAGGUUGGUAGGUGGAUAACUCUACUUUUAAAAUAGAUGAGUACAUACCUUAAAAGAACAAGAGUACACAAUUUUAAAAAUGUAACAAAGCCAACAGUUAACUUAUAUCUGUCUGGUGCCACAUCCCUGGCUACUGAUCCAAGGCUACCUUCUCAUCUAAAAGAAAGCCCCUGCUAAGUUAUAUAGAACCCAAGGCCUCCCAAGUGGUAGAUGUUAAGUUGAAUCUGCAUUGUUAACUGUUACUAACUCUUUGCUAAGAUGCUAAGCAAGCAAAGGAAAAUGCUGGUGACACUGCCUUCUGGGGAGAAGAAAUACAUGAAAACCUAGUUCUAAUUUUGUUAUGUUAAUAACUAGCUAUGUAGCUUGGGCAAAUCCCCCAGGUCAGCUUAGCAAAGAUAACUGCACUUGCUAUGUGGCACACCAAGGAGCCUGAAAGCUUGAGAGACCAAAGGGGGAAAAAGCAGUGACUACAACAACAUUUGCUAUAAAAAUGCAAGGGGAGGUAUAAAUAAUACAACACGUGGAUGUCAUGAGGUUGGUGAGGAGGAAGGGAUUUGUUCUAUUGAGGAGAAAUCAUUGAACCUUGGUUUUCUCAACCAUAUAAUGAAAGGUUUGGACGAGGCUGUCCCUCAGGAUCCCCCCAGCUCUAAACAUCUGUGAUCCAACAGAAGAAAUUUAAGGGAAGUGAUUCUCAAGGAAUCUUCCCUAAGGGCUUAUUACCAGAGACUUGAGGUUGGGCAAAUGCACCUUGUAUUCCUUCAAAGUCCUCUUCUAUGGGACUCGAGGUCUAAAAAAGAACAAAAGAAAAGCAAAGAAAGGAGGUUCACUGGAGGCAGACAUAUUAAAAGGUCAAUAAUUUCUUGAUGUUCUUAAAUCUUGAAAAUCUUCAUAAGAUCCCUGCAUCUUUAUAGAAAAAGCACAAACUUGCUUCCUAGACAUUAAGUACUUAUUUGUAUCAUAUGUCCUCUCCUCAGUAAGUCCUCCCUCACCUCUCAUUGUGAAGAGGAAUUAUGUGACUCCGCCUCCUUAUAUCACUAUCCCUAUUCAACCCAAUCUUCCAACAAAGAUAUUUUGGUUCUUGGGAGCUUUAUCAGAAGAGCUAAAGAAGGCUUAAAAGCUGGCCCAGUCUGCAAAACUACUCUACGAGGUAAGAAGUCAGAACAAUGGUUCCUUUUGGAAGAGGCAGUGACUGGAUGGGAUCACAAGGGGUCUUUUGGGGACUAGUAAUGUUUCAUUUCCUUUUUUUCAAACAAGGUCUUGCUAUGUUGCUCAAGCUGUUCUCA
Molecule: long non-coding RNA, 1998 nt
Organism: Homo sapiens (human)
Lineage: Eukaryota; Metazoa; Chordata; Mammalia; Primates; Hominidae
Exons: 3
Source: RefSeq, a predicted model, not a curated record